Molecule: transfer RNA, 65 nt
Filed under: Coptosoma variegatum
Lineage: Eukaryota; Metazoa; Arthropoda; Insecta; Hemiptera; Plataspidae
Description: tRNA-Ala
Source: RNAcentral
AGGGAAGUAGUUAAGUAACUAACAUUUAAAUUGCAAUUAAAAAACACCAAAUAAGGUCUUCCUUG